UACACAUGCAGUCGAACGGCAGCACAGGAGAGCUUGCUCUCUGGGUGGCGAAGUGGCGGACGGGUGAGGAAUACAUCGGAAUCUACUUUUUCGUGGGGGAUAACGUAGGGAAACUUACGCUAAUACCGCAUACGACCUACGGGUGAAAGCAGGGGAUCUUCGGACCUUGCGCGAUUGAAUGAGCCGAUGUCGGAUUAGCUAGUUGGCGGGGUAAAGGCCCACCAAGGCGACGAUCCGUAGCUGGUCUGAGAGGAUGAUCAGCCACACUGGAACUGAGACACGGUCCAGACUCCUACGGGAGGCAGCAGUGGGGAAUAUUGGACAAUGGGCGCAAGCCUGAUCCAGCCAUACCGCGUGGGUGAAGAAGGCCUUCGGGUUGUAAAGCCCUUUUGUUGGGAAAGAAAUCCAGCUGGCUAAUACCCGGUUGGGAUGACGGUACCCAAAGAAUAAGCACCGGCUAACUUCGUGCCAGCAGAGCGCGGUAAUACGAAGGGUGCAAGCGUUACUCGGAAUUACUGGGCGUAAAGCGUGCGUAGGUGGUCGUUUAAGUCCGUUGUGAAAGCCCUGGGCUCAACCUGGGAACUGCAGUGGAUACUGGGCGACUAGAGUGUGGUAGAGGGUAGCGGAAUUCCUGGUGUAGCAGUGAAAUGCGUAGAGAUCAGAGGACAUCAUGGCGAAGCAGCUACCUGGACCACACUGACACUGAGCACGAAGCGUGGGGAGCAAAGGAUAGAUACCCUGGUAGUCCACGC
RNAcentral lists this ribosomal RNA (752 nucleotides) under Stenotrophomonas sp. MC-1-SDCH8. RNAcentral's name for it is "bacterial SSU rRNA". It matches the Rfam family "Bacterial small subunit ribosomal RNA", at positions 50 to 800 of the family's 1533-position model. Lineage: Bacteria; Pseudomonadati; Pseudomonadota; Gammaproteobacteria; Lysobacterales; Lysobacteraceae. The record is from RNAcentral.